CUCCUGCCUCUGUGGCAGCGCUAUGGAUGUCCGGCUGUGGCUUAAGCCCACUCCCCCUCAGACAUCCCCUGAGCGCUACCAGACUGCUAAAGUGCGCAGGCCGGGCUGAGGUGAUCCCCACCCCCAAGUGCAUGAAUGUCGUGCACCAGGCCUCGAGUGUCAGUAUAACAGAUGUUCAUUUUAUUUUCUCCCAUAUGUCUUUGGGCAUAUUUUGCCUUUUUGAAUUACCUCCAAAAAGAUACCUGGUUAAUUUGGUGGACUUCAUUAGAAUCAUAAAAUUUUAAUGCAAACCAGUGCUUACUUAGAAUCAGUCUCCCUUAAAUGUGUAAAUCAGGAAAUUAGAACGGCAUCUGCUUACAAUUAAUUUGAAGUACAUUAUUUUUGGACUGUUGACUGAUUAAAAUAAAAAAUUCAGGAGUUAACUUCAGCAGGUUCUUUAGGUUUUUAUUUGAGGGAAGAGGAAAAAGAGGGAAGUAUAAUUGUUAGGUAAAAGUACAGGAUAAACUAAAGUCUUCAUACAACUCCUAGUAAUUAUGUCACAUAAGACAAUGCUACCAAAAAUUUAAACUUUCAUUUGUUCUGUGCCUUUAGAGUAAAAAAAAUUUAAGUUCCUUUUCAGAUCUCCCUUUCCCCACCAUCUACAUAAUUCUUUAGAUGUACCCAUUGUUAACAACUUGGGGUGUGUUUGUAUCCCUAUUAUAUAUAAAUGUUUUUAUUAUAUUUGACCUUUAUAUGUUUCAGUUCCCUGAAAGCAACUUUUACCCUAUGUCAGAUUCCAUCCUCAAUCAACUGACCAAUUUAUCAAGAACAAUCCAGAGAAUCCCACCUUAACAAAAGUUAAAUCACUGUUAACAGUUCUUAAACUAGAAAUUAACUGACUCUUAAGUUGUUUUAUAUUAAGCUUAAAGAGUAACCAUAGCACUCUGGGAGAGUCAAGUUGAUUAUUGGUUUCUAUUCCCUGUGUAAAUAUGGCUGAGAAGGAGGAGUGUGGAAGUCCAAGCUCCUUAAUACCCAGGUAAUUUUGGGUUGGGCUCAUUCAUUCUCUUGGCAUACUUUCCUACUUGGGGAGUAUUGCAAUGUCCCCAACAAUUACUUCAGAUACUUCUCUGCAAUAGUUGUUAAAGCAAUAGUUUAGCACAUUAGUGUCAUGAUAUAAAAUUAAGUGUGUGUGCCCCAGAACAAUUAUUCAAAUUUAUUCUUAUUUGAUUUUUAAUAAAAACAACUCAGAGCAAUUGAAGCACAACUUUCCAUGAUUUUGUUAAAUUUCUGGUGGUCAUUUAAAAAAUGUAAAACACAUUCUGCUUAUCAUGACUUCUGUCAAUUUCACUUAUUGAGUGUCUGCUGUGUGCCCAGUGUUCUUUAUAGUUAGAGCUUAAAAUUAGGGAGCCAUUGCCCAUACUCCAGCAUGUAAGUACUUUAUCUGUGGAUAUGAGGUCAACAAAUCAGGCACGUUCACAUUCUGUAUUUGAUCAGAUAUGUACCAGUGACACUUCAGAGGUAAUUAGAAUGACAGUAGUUGAAGCUGAUAGUGAACGUUGAGGUAAAGCUGAACAGAAUGAUUUUGAAUCUUGCAAAUAAUUUUAAAGCCAGAUUAAAAUAGAAUAACUUGUUUUUUAGCUUCAAGGGAGCAAUUACUAGUAAAUGAUCCUCAAGCCCAAAUUGCUUUUACAAAUUUUGUGAUAACAGUGCAGAAACAGAUGCCUUGUGCUUAUUUAGACAGUUGCUUUUUUUUCAACCUAGAAAAAAUGCAUUUUAAAAAGCAAUUUUUUAUUGUUGCCUUUGACAGAUAUUUUCUUUGCCUUGUCACCAAACAGUAACCUAGGAAACAAGUAGGCCUGUUUGGAGAGUGUAACCCAGUGUAAUUUGUGAAUUUCUAAAUACACUUUCCAAAUUGGGAGUAUGGGUCCUCUUUUUCCUACCUGAUAUUGAAGAUAGGCCAGAAAGAUAGCUUAAUGAUUACCUGAAUUUUCUGCUAACCAAUAAGUUUUAAGAAUAUAUUUUUAAUUACAGUAUAUUAUCAAAGGUAACAUCCAGAUCCCUUCUUGACCAUUUUGGGGAGAAAAUGAAUGACAUCAUCAGUUUUUAAAAAUGAUUCCAUGAGCCAGUUAUCAAGAAAUAACUUCUAUUUAUCUGAAUUAAUUCAUCACGAAUUCAUAAAAGGUGAAUAAUUUCAAUGAUCUAGUGACAGUUCUUCAAAAGGUAAAAGCCUGUAAGGGAAAUACUAAACAUCAAAAGCAAGACACUUCGAAAAUUUUUGGUUGUCUCCAGAGUGACAGAAUUAUUACCUUUGUACCAAAGCUAUAUGCAAUAUAAGCUCCCCUGCCCCAUGAAUCCUGUAUUGAUGUUUUUAAACCUGAAAAUGUUCUUUAACUGAAGCAGUGGCUGGCAUCAGUAGUUCCUCCCUUCAAAGAUUUUUAAAAUGGCCAACAGUAGUGGCACAAGAAAAUCACUUAUGACGGACAUAAUUUUGGUUGAACUUGAAGAUGGUCAGAUAUGGCAUUUAAUUUAC
Molecule: long non-coding RNA, 2509 nt
Organism: Myotis davidii
Lineage: Eukaryota; Metazoa; Chordata; Mammalia; Chiroptera; Vespertilionidae
Exons: 2
Source: RefSeq, a predicted model, not a curated record